RNAcentral lists this ribosomal RNA (699 nucleotides) under uncultured bacterium. RNAcentral describes it as "bacterial SSU rRNA". It matches the Rfam family "Bacterial small subunit ribosomal RNA", at positions 74 to 774 of the family's 1533-position model. The record is from RNAcentral.
AGGAGCUUGCUCCUUGGAUCAGUGGCGAACGGGUGAGUAACACGUGAGCAAUCUGCCCUUGACUCUGGGAUAACUGCGGGAAACUGUAGCUAAUACCGGAUAUUACCUUGGAAGGCAUCUUCUGGGGUGGAAAGAAUUUUGGUCAAGGAUGAGCUCGCGGCCUAUCAGGUAGUUGGUGAGGUAAUGGCUCACCAAGCCUACGACGGGUAGCCGGCCUGAGAGGGUGACCGGCCACACUGGGACUGAGACACGGCCCAGACUCCUACGGGAGGCAGCAGUGGGGAAUAUUGCACAAUGGGCGCAAGCCUGAUGCAGCAACGCCGCGUGAGGGACGACGGCCUUCGGGUUGUAAACCUCUUUUAGUAGGGAAGAAGCGACUGGGUUUUCCUGGGAGUGACGGUACCUGCAGAAAAAGCACCGGCUAACUACGUGCCAGCAGCCGCGGUAAUACGUAGGGUGCAAGCGUUGUCCGGAAUUAUUGGGCGUAAAGAGCUCGUAGGCGGUUUGUCGCGUCUGCUGUGAAAACCCGAGGCUCAACCUCGGGCCUGCAGUGGGUACGGGCAGACUAGAGUGCGGUAGGGGAGAUUGGAAUUCCUGGUGUAGCGGUGGAAUGCGCAGAUAUCAGGAGGAACACCAAUGGCGAAGGCAGAUCUCUGGGCCGUAACUGACGCUGAGGAGCGAAAGCAUGGGGAGCGAACA